GACAUUAAGUUCGGAGCAGCCCAAGGCUGCGGAUCUAGCCUUUCUCCCUCCGGUCUCCAGACCCACGCAGGUUCAGGCAACCAAGCAGAGACAGCGGAGCCCCGGCGCGUGGUUCAUGCCUGGUCAACAGGUAGGAGGGCCGGUCUGGGGGCCAGGCACAGAGGAGGGCAGGCCCGCCCGCACCGGCGUCCAGGGUCCCGGGUUCCGGGUCCCGGGACUCGAGGAGGUCGCCGGCAGCCCGCGCUUCUAGAGGAUUGAGAUUGGGUGGACGAGACCUGAAGAUCCUCUCGGUCUGGACCCCGACUUUCGGUCUGCUUAGAGACCUAAGCCGCGAGCCUUUGCCCACACGGAGAAACGUACUAUCUAAUAUCUAACAACCCUGUACUGCCGUGUCUGGAGGCUGCGGGAAGGAGACUAUGUCUCCCUUUGGGAAAACUACUGAGGACUUCUUUAUAUCCUACUUCUCCUGGACUCCAUAAGUUACAGGACCGAAGGAAACAGAAAUAGAGAAAAGGUGCCGCUUGCCCCUUUAACUCCAGAAAAGGGUGGCUGCAGAUGGAGCAGCUUGGACUUUAUUUUUACAUUGCGAGAAGCCCGCCGGCAGCGGCUUAUGCGAAUUGAUUUUCCCAGCUCCCAGCCCUGGGUGUCUAGCUAUCUCCAGGACAGUUUGUUUUUUUCUUUUUCUGUCUUUCUUUCUUUCCUUCAAUGUAUCAGAAGACCUGAAGCUCGCUGCCCGCGAGUUUCCUCCGAGUUCCCAGACAGAGUCUUGCUCUAUUGCCCAGGCUGCAACUGGCGUGAUCUUGGCUCACUACAACCUCUGCCUCCUGGGUUCAAGUGAUUCUCCUGCCUCAACCUCCCAAGUAGCUGGGAUUACAAGCAUGCACCACCAUGCCUGGCUAAUUUUUGUAUUUUUAGUGGAGACGGGGCUUCGCCACGUUGGCCAGGGUGGUCUUGAACUCCUGACCUCAAGUGAUCCACCUGCCUUGGCCUUCCAAAGUGCUGGGAUUAUAAGCAUGAGCCACCGCACCCAGCCUUAUACUGAACUUUCAAUGGGUUCAAUUCCACUAGGAGCAUAAAGUCCACUGCAUAUGAGUUGUGGAAAGAAGAGAUUAGAGGAAGAAGGAAGAACUUGAGAUGAGUUCUUCCCUUCAACAUUCUGUCUCCUCCUACCUAGCAUCUUCUUUCUUUUAGUCUUUCUAGAAUGUCCAUCUGUUUUUGGCCAUUGCAGAAAGAGAAGCUGAGCUUUAAAGGCGUAGGAGCUUCAAAAUUCUUGUUUCUUCAUGUUUGAUCACCCUUCUAAACCUGUCUUCUGUUCCUUCUGCUAUUCUUUUUUCUUAGGGCAUAGGAAAGGGGAGCUUUUAAAUUAAUACUUAAAGCAUGGAAAAAAAGAACUUCAGAAGAAAGUAAAACAAGGGAGAUGAGGCUAGUAAAGUAAGGAAAAUGGAGAAGAGGAAGAGGGGGAAGGGUUAGCUUCUAAAUUCCAAGUCAAAUUGAUACGGAACAGGCAAGCCUCUUGUCUUACUUAAACUUCAGAGAAGGAUCUGCUGAAACUUGAUAGAAAUGGAAGGGAAAUCCUUGGAGUGGGGAACCUCCAAAUGUUAGUAAUGAUAUUGAACAACUCAAAGUAUUGAGGAAAUCUGCAGGCUACAUGCCUGAAGAUCACCCAUGCAGAUAGACCAAAAGGAUUAGAAUUAUCUGUUGAUAUUAGUAAUAUUUAUUGACAUCUAGCUAGUAUUGGUAAUUUUAAGUUUUAGAUUAAUUUCUUUGGUAAUAGCUAUGAUAUAUUUUAUAGACAAGAAUUAUAUCUAUAGGCUUGCUAUCAUAGGCUCUUUUAAGUAGCAUUAAUUUAGUCUACUUAUUUUUAGCACAUUUGAAUCAUUCACUUAUGCUAGGUAACCCAUUGUGCAAUAAAAAGAUGAUUCCUGUAUGUAUGGCAGCUAUACAUUAAGGAGGAGUCUACCAGAAUAUGAAAAAGUCAACUGACCUAAAUAUUGCUGAGACAAAGGAAAACCCACUCCCUUGGAGGAGCAUGACCUUUUCCUGUAUUGCUUCCCACUGCUGUUGUGGAGCUCCUUGGACCUUGGCUUCUGGACACCAUCAUCAAGAAGACUUUAUGGAUGGGCUAUCCACCCACUGAGAGAAGAGGAGCAUCAGCUACAGUUUCUGUCUAGAUUGCCUUCUUCAUUUUGAGUAAUGACUGUCAGCAGGGUCAGAUUAAAGACAAAACAACUGGACAAUUGCUUGGAGGACUAAACUAUAAGGGCACUAACAUGUCAGUAGUAUGCUAACACAUCCAUGGAAAAUAUAUUUACCAGCCCUUCUCUCAGGAUUCUGUGUGGGGUUGGAAGGAAUGGUUUGUUAAAUUCCUUAGGGGUAGAAAGUAGGGCAUAAUCAGAAUACAGAGGAAUAUGCUGUUUGACUUCAGGGUUUCUGUUUUUCUUACUAGGAUAUAUAAAACAGGAGCUCUAGCUAGAUUGUUUAUGACCACAGAGGGCAGGCUGAGCACUCCCAUGGUCUUCCUGCUUGGUUCUUGCCCAUACAGAGCUCAGCCUUUCCUCUAAUAAAGAUUGAACAAGUAGUGGUCUGAGGGAGACACCAAUUCAUUACCCUACAUGUCUCUUCUCUGCACUCUAGGGCUUUGAUAAUAAAGACACUGGCAGACUAUCUGUCUUCCAUUUCUAUAAUGUGAGCCCUUAGGGAGUCUUCAUUCACUUGGGGGUGAGGGUCAUUGCUCACAGAGUAGUUCAAGUCAAAUGGAACUUGAACUCUUUGCCUAUGGGCCUGGUGGUCAGACUCUGUGUUGAGUUCAUUGGAUUAUUGGAGACACAAGGUAGAGCUGAACGCUUCAAAAAUAUUUGGCUAAAGGAUGACAUUGCUGGUUAUUUGUAGAUAAAGCCAUGAUGGAACCUGCUUGGAAUCAUGAAAUAUGGAACUGGUGGUCAUGUUUAAAAAUACAACUAAUAGUUAAGUACCUACUGGACACUGUAGAGACUUAGGGACAAGACAGACAUGGUUCCUGCCCCCAUGGAGCUUACACUGUAGCUUUCCCUUAGGUAUGAAGAACAGUGGCUACAACUAACAAAUGGCCACAAAGAUAUCAUUGAGCCAGUGUUCCAAUCAUUAGGGUAAUUCCUAUUUCCUUAAUCAUGCCUAUUGACCAUGUUCUAUAAGCCUGCAUUCUAUAAAUGGCCUAUGAGCAUGGGCUGUUUCCCCCCAGCAAGUUGUACAAAGUUCUGUGGUACCAGAGAAAGGGCUUAAGGUUAGCAGGGCCUCUGGGGAAGGACAUAUGUAGUGACUUGGGUUAGGAAACAGGAAGGGAUAGGAUUGAAGAACAGCUGUUGCUUCUGUUCUAUAUAGGAAACUGCAGCGUGAAAAAUUCUGGGCUGGGAAUUUUGAGACCUGGGUUUUAGUUUGUGUUCUAAUACUAACAAGCUAUGUGACCGUGGGUAAGUCACUUCACAUUCCACUUGGAUGCCUCUUGAGUGACUCCAGGCCUCUCCAGCUCUAAAACAUUAAUAUCAGGCCCUACGCUACAGCUGGCCAGUGUGUAAUUCUCCUGUUUCUAUGCUGUUAGGUCAAAUAGAUCUUCAAUAGUUACUUGAUUGUUAUUACUUUUUUCUGAAGUGGAUGUUUUAUCAAUGUUUUAGGAUACAGUGAGUCUGCUUCUGCCCUUUGGAGUUAGGAAGGUUGUAGGAAUAUACACUGUAGAGCAUAUGGGAGCUUUAUCCCCUCCUUUUUACCCCCCUACCUUUCUCCCUCUCCUUCCCUUCCUCACAUUUCUAUUGAGCAUAUGUCAUUGCCGUGUACCAGGUGUGUGCUAGAUUUGGAGAUACAAGGUAAACCUGAGACUUUCCCAGACUCCAGGAGACAAAACCCUAAUUUCUGUCAUCUGCUGGCUUUCUCUUUGGAAAGAAUCAACGAUAUCCCAGGGGAAUGUGCCCAUGUCCCAGGGUAACCAACUACAGACAGAUGCCCCAUUCUACUCAAACAACUUUUAGAGUGCCUUGAGAUACACAUCAGAUAAUUAUGCAGGGCCGGGCAUGGUGCUGCACACUUGUAAUCACAGCACUUUGGGAGGCCGAGGCAGCAGAUUGCUUGAGCCCAGGAAUUCAAGCAUAGCCUAGGGAACAUGGCAAAACCCCAGCUCUACAAAAAAAAUACACAAAUUAGCUGCGUGUGGUGGCCCAUGACUGUAGUACAAGCUACUCAGGAGGCUGAGGUGGGAGGAUUGCUUGAGCCUGUGAGGUCGAGGCUGCAGUGAGCCGAGAUCAUGCCAUUGCACUCCAGCCUGGGUGACAUAGGGAGACCCUAUCUUGGAAAAAAAAAAAAAAAAAAAAAAAAAGAUAAUCAUUCAGCCCUAGAGUCAUUGUGAAAAGAUCUAUCUUCAGAUAUAAGGAAGAAACAAUUUUUUAUUUCUUAGGAUAAAUCUGUAGAAGGACCUCCAGACAGUGAAGGCCACUGACUACUUUAUACUUUGUAAGCCAUCCCUUCCCUGGUAGGAAGGACUACUUUCCAGUCUUACAAAGUACCUCUCAGCAAAUAGACGUUUUCAUAUAUACUGUGAUUGAUACAUCCCUAUGGCUGGUGACCUCUUUAAAAAGGAAAGAAAAAAGCCUAAUCAAACAAAAAGAUGUUGCUAGUAAUUCUUACCCUAUUGUGAAUCCUAUAUAAGCAAAUUUGUAUCUUUGUUUUUUCCAACAUUAGCAGAUCUAUUUGAUAUAUAUCUCUGAGUGCAGAAAAUAUUUUAUAGAAAAAUCAAUAUAUGGAAUUUCAAAUUCAGAAUUGCUGAUACACACUAUUUGGUUUCAGAAUUUUAUCCCAGGAAAUAGUAUUAGGGAUUUCAAUUUCUGGCUUAAAUGGUAGAAUUAAUUACUCUUAACUCUUAAUUUUACUUCUGAGUUGAGGUCAAGGAACAGGCAGACACCUCCAGUUAACGUCUAUACGUCUCCAUGGCCAAGAGUUUUAAUUUUCUCGUCUUCAGUUUUGUAGAUGUACAUCAUUACUAAAUGCAUUGAUUAGUAUUUUAUUUCCUCUCCUUGUCCUUACUUUCCCUCUGGUAAAUAUGUUAUAAACAGUGUAAGGCUCCUAAGAUAGAGUGGCUGGUAGGACUUAGAAGAGAAACAAAGGGCAUUGAUAACCACAUAAAUGGAAAAUUGGCUCUGGAAUAAUUGACAACAUAUUCAAGUAUUUUAGUGCAGUGUCACUUUCAUUAAGAAGAAGACAAUCAGUAAAUCUAUGUGACUCUAAACAUUCUAAUGAAAGAGGAAUAUUCUGUCAAUUAUCUCACAUUUCUAAAUAUCUGGAUAUUGGCCACUGUAAAGACAAAACAUACAGAUGAUGGACUUGUCUUUCCACCUCUCAUUUGCAUGGUUUGGAGCAUUGUACCUCCAGCCAUUGACUCUAAGGCAAUUUAUAUUUGCUUCCUCUUCCCUCUUGAGAGAAAACAAAAAUCUUAUUUUUCCAAGCAGUUAAAACUCUUCUGCUUCAGCUAGGAUGAAAGAAUUAGGAGUUCUGUCUCCUUGUAUCUAAUUGCAUGUUUCAUCUUUCUUGUUUUAAUGAUUGACAGAAAACUAAUAAACUGAGACAUCUUUGAAUCCAGGUUGAAUGUACUCUCUUGGUGGCCCCAUUGCUAAUUUGUUUGACUAUUUUGCAGGAUUUCUUACUCUGUAAUGGAAAGGUUUAUUAAAUAUGAGGGAUGCAAA
This is a long non-coding RNA of Pongo pygmaeus (Bornean orangutan), 5702 nucleotides long. RefSeq lists it as uncharacterized. The transcript is spliced from 3 exons. The record is from RefSeq and is a predicted model, not a curated record. Lineage: Eukaryota; Metazoa; Chordata; Mammalia; Primates; Hominidae.